ACGGCCGGUACAACUACGACCUGCACGUGGAGGAGACGCGCGAGUGUGUGAAAGGCCCCAACAUCGCCGCCAUCGUGGGGGGCACCGUGGGGGGAGUCGUGCUCGUGGGCAUCUUCCUGCUGGCCAUCUGGAAGGUCCUGACCCACCUGAGUGACCUCAGGGAGUACAAGCGCUUCGAGAAGGAGAAGCUCAAGUCCCAGUGGAACAACGAUAACCCCCUUUUCAAGAGCGCCACCACGACAGUUAUGAACCCCAAGUUUGCUGAGCGCUAGGGGUGCUUGGUGAAGACAAGGCCUUCUGCUCCGCCCAGACGGGGCCGCCUCCCCUCCAGCAGGCUGACCGUGACCCUGCCUGGCGGACCCAGCUGACGCCCCCCCACCCCCGACCCCCUCAACAUCAGCUGAAAACCUGCUCUUUUCCCUGCGCCCCAAAUGACGGAUCUGUUCAGAUGCUUCAAUGGACUCAUCGGAAGGGACAAUCUCCCGCUUCUGAGAGGUGUGACUUCUGGUAGCCACUUGAAAAAGGACUCGCUUGUGUCUCGUAAGGUCAGACACCUGUCUUCCUUUGUAAAAAUUAGCACAGCAGUCAGAUGGAUGGAGAUUCCGAUUUAUUUAUAUGUGAACUUAUAGGGAAUAGAAUUGCAUUCCUGUGAUUAUGCUGUUUCCAAUCAUGUGCACGGAAAAAAAUCGAAUAAAUCUGCAGAGGCUCGCUGGGGGCUGGGCUCUGCGCCCCAUCUCAGCUGUGCCCACACUCCCCGGGUCCUGCCGACUUUGUGCCCUGGAGCCAGUUUCUCUUUCCUCCUUCCUCACCUGGUGCCCGUGAGAGCCUGGCCCCUAUCUGCCCUGGUCCCUGGCCCUCACCUUAGGCAGCUUUCAGAGGACCGGGCAGGAAGCAAGGGGCGGGGGGCAGCCUCACUGAAGGGGGUCCUGCUGAGGAACCUGAACACGGCCGAGGCAAGACAGAGGCGCCGGUGUCUGUCACCCUCGCAGACACUACACGGGCUCCGCUGUGCCGAGCCAGGAGUGCGGUGUCCACCGCGCGAGCAGGCAGUGUGGCAAGGCUCUCAGGCCCCCACCGUCCUGUCCUCACCAUUCCCGCCCUGUUCACCUUGCCUUCCUGCCCUAUUCCUAAAAAGUGGAUUUGAAACAGAAUGGCCAAAGCUUAACCCUUCCCCUUAUUAAUGGUUCCAUGUCCUUCUGUGCCCAGGAGGAGACUCAGGCUUUAUUUCCACGUUAAGAUCCAGCAGAACAAAAUGAAAUCGCUUUCAGGCAGUGUUGGGCCAUCCCAUCUCCCCACCUGGUGAAUCUGGAUGGCUCUGCCCCUUCCUGACGUUUUUUGUUUGUUUGUUUGUUUUCUUUUUAUAACUGCACCCGUGGCAUAUGGAGGUUCCCAGGCUAGGGGUCUAAUCGGAGCUGCAGCUGCUGGCCUGCACCACAGCCACAGCAAGGCAGGAUCAGAGCCACAUCUGUAACCUACAGCACAGCUCACAGCAACGCCAGAUCCUUAACCCACUGAGUGUGGCCAAGGAUUGAACUGGCAACCUCUUGGUUCCUAGUGGGAUUCCUUUCCGCUGUGCCAGGACGGGAACACCCCUUCCCAACCUUUGACCCUUCCCGCCAAGAACCUCCAGCAGACAAGCCUCUCCUCACACGUGAUCUGCUCACCAAAGGUCCCCCUGCAGCCGCCUUCCCCCAACGAUGUCACACAGGCACUUCUGGCACCUUCGUCUGAGGUCCCCGGGUGCAGUCCCUCCCCUGCCCGUGCCUCUCCCGCACAUCCGCGUCCACACAGACACCCGUGGCGAUUGUGUUCCCCACUCCUACAACCCAGUGCGGUUCUCCGGCGACACCCUGUGCCCCUCGGACCCCAGACGCCCAGCCGGAGUGCGGGGCCGCCCCACCCCGAGCCACAGCCUCCCUCCUGCUCUCCUUCCCUUCCUGUUUUAAAGUCAGCUUUUGAGACUUAGCAUCAUCAAAACCUUUGUCACUUAAGCAACUCCAGGGGUGCUUGUUUCUAGGCUCCGAGUGCAUUUUCCAUGAGUGGGUUUGUUUUAUCCUUUUUUAAUAAAGUCUGCAUCGUGUACCAU
This 2086-nucleotide long non-coding RNA is filed under the name Sus scrofa (pig). Its description in RNAcentral is "lncRNA (ENSSSCG00005013262.1)". The record is from RNAcentral. Lineage: Eukaryota; Metazoa; Chordata; Mammalia; Artiodactyla; Suidae.